RNAcentral lists this ribosomal RNA (509 nucleotides) under Zoophthora occidentalis. RNAcentral describes it as "partial 16S ribosomal RNA". It matches the Rfam family "Bacterial small subunit ribosomal RNA", at positions 348 to 962 of the family's 1533-position model. Lineage: Eukaryota; Fungi; Entomophthoromycota; Entomophthoromycetes; Entomophthorales; Entomophthoraceae. The record is from RNAcentral.
UCAGCAGUCAAGAAUAUUAGUCAAUGGGCAAGGCGCCUGAUCCAGCCAGAUAGUAAGAGUGUGAUUAACACUCCACUCAAAAGAAAAAACAAAACAAUGAUAGAAGUUUUCAUUAUAUCCUGACUAAUUUCGUGCCAGCAGUCGCGGCAAUACGUGAAGGAUAAGCGUAAUUCAUCAUCACUAGGUAUCAAGCGUCUGUAGGCGGCGUAUCGAAUGUAAGCUAGAGUCUGACUAGGAAAUUGGAAUUUAAUAAGUAAGGAUAAAAUCUUUUGAUUUAUUAAAGAAUUUUAUGCGAAGGCAUAUUUCUCUGAACGACUGACGCUAAGAGACUAAAGUGUGGGUAGCGAAAAGGAUUAGAUACCCUAUUAGUCCACACCCUCAACGAUGAGUGUUAGUCUUACGGCAUUGAAACACUCCACCUGGGGAGUACUAUCGCAAGAUAGAAACCCAAAAGAAUAGACGGUAUUUAAGACCAGCAGUGAAGCAUGUUAUUUAAUUCGAUAAUCCGC